Gasterosteus aculeatus aculeatus (three-spined stickleback) is the source of this 1331-nucleotide long non-coding RNA. Lineage: Eukaryota; Metazoa; Chordata; Actinopteri; Perciformes; Gasterosteidae. The record is from Ensembl.
CAGAGGGAGGGGAGAGGUAGAACCCAAAAUGCUGCUCCCAAAGUGCUUUAAACCCCAGAGAGCCUCGAACAAAAGAAAAGCUCCAUGAAGGAAUCGACUUUAAAAUGGUUCACUUGUGAGCCGCUGACAUUUAAAACGUGUUUUUCAUUUCUAUUUCUUGGCGGCGCUUUAUUGUUUCUUUUGCCAAUAAUAACACCCAAUAUUUAUUACACACCUUCACAGCACGGUUGAUUAUGUUCCAGCUGGUUUUCAUGCCCCAGAUUGCCAUUUUACAAUAGUGAGGCACAAAGCAACAAGUCAAUGCAGCGGGAACGAAAACAUAUUAUGGCUCUCAAGUUAAAAGCUCAAGCGACAAUUGUUAGGAAGUCCCAGCGCGAUGUGGAUGUUACCGAAGGAUGAGUUUGGAGCUAGUUUUGUUUGCCGCAGUUUUCCCGCUUUGUUCACGAUGGGAAAAAGAAUGCUUCACGUGAGGUAAUCCCUCAUCCAAUCGUGUCUCUUAUUCCGAGCCUCAACCCUGAACCGACCUGUGCAGACGGCGGUCUGAGCGAAUGCCCUCCUUCCCACAUCUUUCCAUCACUUACACAACAUUUGGUCUUCAUUAGGAAAAGAAAACACACACACGGCUCCCAAUCCCUCACCGAGCGGAGGGAGAUACUAUUUCAGCCUUGUCUUGGUAAUCAACCCGUCAGCGCGGCGGCAGCAGAGCUACCGGCGAGCCGAUGAACUCUGUCCGUCUCUCUCUCACACACACACACACACCAACUAAUCAAGACGGGGACGCGGACGGCGUCCAUGAAAACUGGCCGACAGGAAGUUACAGCCAUGUCACGGGAAAUAGGAUGUGUCUUUCUCCCGGAGCAGCAGUAUCCCCGCGAUUAGAGGGAGCAGAUUGAGCUGUCCCUUUGCAUUACACACACACACACACACACACACACACACACACACACACGCGUAUACACGCCUGCCCAGACACGAGUGGACAAACGCAUUGGCAGGCAGACAUAUAAGGGAAAGGGACAGCAGUUAGAGAUGCACACACACAGGCUGACACACGAAUGCACAAAUAAACUUGUUUGUGUCUUGUUUUCACCGGUGGAGGAGAGUUUGUUGAAGGCCCAGAGAGAGAGCGGGGGACCAUUUCCUCCUGUUAUGACUGCCGGCGGCGGACAACAAUCCUCCGGCGCGUCAACGACAAACACGGCGAAAGGAGCUGAAAGUGCUGCGCUGUGUAUCGACAUCAGCAGAGUCCUUGUGGCUCUGAACGUUUGCGCGGUGGACCCAUUCAGCCUCGGCACAAGUUGUUCUCGCUCGAGUUCAAAUAACAUCAAAUU